ACCUACGGGGGGCAGCAGUGGGGAAUAUUGCACAAUGGGGGAAACCCUGAUGCAGCGACGCCGCGUGAGUGAAGAAGCGUUUCGGCGCGUAAAGCUCUGUCAGCGGGGAAGAAACACGGUUCGCGAGAGCCGCGGACGGUACCCGACCAAGAAGCCCCGGCUAACUACGUGCCAGCAGCCGCGGUAAUACGGAGGAUGCGAGCGUUAUCCGGAUUUAUUGGGUUUAAAGGGUGCGUAGGCGGAAUGCCAAGUCAGCGGUAAAAUCGCGGGGCUCAACCUCGCUCCGCCGUUGAAACUGGCGUUCU
Molecule: ribosomal RNA, 305 nt
Filed under: uncultured bacterium
Lineage: Bacteria
Description: bacterial SSU rRNA
Rfam family: Bacterial small subunit ribosomal RNA
Source: RNAcentral